RNAcentral lists this ribosomal RNA (253 nucleotides) under uncultured bacterium. RNAcentral's name for it is "partial 16S ribosomal RNA". It matches the Rfam family "Bacterial small subunit ribosomal RNA", at positions 524 to 776 of the family's 1533-position model. The record is from RNAcentral.
UACGAAGGGGGCUAGCGUUGUUCGGAAUCACUGGGCGUAAAGGGCGCGUAGGCGGCCGAUCAAGUCGGGGGUGAAAGCCUGUGGCUCAACCACAGAAUUGCCUUCGAUACUGUUUGGCUUGAGACCGGAAGAGGUAAGUGGAACUGCGAGUGUAGAGGUGAAAUUCGUAGAUAUUCGCAAGAACACCAGUGGCGAAGGCGGCUUACUGGUCCGGUUCUGACGCUGAGGCGCGAAAGCGUGGGGAGCGAACAGG